RNAcentral lists this long non-coding RNA (1401 nucleotides) under Mytilus galloprovincialis (Mediterranean mussel). The record is from RNAcentral. Lineage: Eukaryota; Metazoa; Mollusca; Bivalvia; Mytilida; Mytilidae.
CCUUAAUUAAAGCCAUUUUUGAAUUUUCAUUGACACCAAAAAAAACUAGAACGUGUCCAUAGUACAUGGAUUCCCCACUCCCACUAUCAAUAUCUAUGCUCAGUGGACAGUGAAAUUGGGGUCAAAUUGGCAUUAAAAUUAGAAAGAUCAUAUCAUAGAGAACAUGUGUACAAGUUUCAAGUUGAUUGGACUUCAACUUCAUCAAAACUACCUCGACCAAAAACUUUAAUCCAAAAGUGGGACAGACAGACAAAUGAACAUAACCAUCCAUUAGUCUAAAGUUGUCAUGUGGCGAGUAAAUAAUUAAAUUUUAUUUGGACCAAAAUGAAACAACAUAUGAUAGACACAAAGUGAUGGAUGUCAGAUUAAAAGAUGAUGAAAAUUCCCAGAGUUGCUUCUACGUUUGGUUUAUUGAACAAGGAACUGACUUUGACUGGCCUUGUAACAGUUUUAUUCUAGUAUUAGCUCUUAUGUCACUCUAAUCAAUACCUGAUGACUCACACAGAAUAUUGAACAUGCUAAACUAAUGCUUAGUGCAAUUAUUCUGAUUUUAUUGUAAAAGGGCUGGCAGCGAUAUCUUAACAAAAUGUGCAUCUGCUUGGCUAACAGUCUGAUGAGAUAAUAAAGUUUAUUUGCCACUUUCAGCUUUAUUUUGAAUCUGCAGAUGUUAAUGUUCCUUCCAAUCUAUUAUUAGGUAAAAGCUAAUAAAAAAAAAUAUUGCUUCAUAUGAAUAAAAAAAAUUUCUGAGUGGUUAUCUAUAGUACACUUUUAUGUACAGCAACCUAGACCCUGAAUAACAAUAGUACAAAUAUUUACAAGUAUCAAAGUUGAACCCUAGGAAUUGCAAGGUAUAAAUUCUGUUUGUCCUAUUAUAAAUGUACCCAACCAUGUUUUGGAACUAUGAAAUUUUCAGGACAUAGCAAUAAAAAAUUUACAAUGAGAUUUUUUCAAUAGCAAAUUCACUAAGUAGAUAACCCCCAAAUAUACCUUGCAACUACAAAGGGAAGUAACAAAAACAAGGGAAAUAACUGUGAAUACAGUUUGGUCAUGAAUAUUAACAGUAUCACAAUUAUUAUCUACCCCUUUGACAAAAAUAUAAAAUGAGUGAUUAUACAUUUUGGCUAAAACACAACUAUCUUUAUACAAUUUGAAUAAGGCAUUUGAUCUGUAAACACAUGAUCAAAGAAAGUUUUACAAUAUUGGUAUCUUUCUUUUAAUUGCCACCUAAAUUUGAGAAUGCUAUCUACAUGUGUAUAUAUAAGUUGGUUUCUACACUACUCUUGUUACCUUUAUUUAACAGAUGGUUUCUUGCUGAACAACCAGUGGCUUUUGUUUAUUUGAAUAUCAUAUGUGGACAAAACUGGUUCAAGUGUUCAGAUCAGAAGUAGUUGCCAUUUGUUU